GAUGAACGCUAGCGGCAGGCCUAACACAUGCAAGUCGAGGGGCAUCGCGGUGCAGCAAUGCACUGGCGGCGACCGGCGUACGGGUGCGUAACGCGUAUGCAACCUGCCCCGCACCGGGGGAUAGCCCGCCGAAAGGCGGAUUAAUACCCCAUGGUCCCGGGGGCCCGCAUGGGCAUCCGGGUAAAGCCUUGGCGGUGCGGGAUGGGCAUGCGUGCCAUUAGCUGGCUGGUGGGGUAACGGCCCACCAGGGCAACGAUGGCUAGGGGGUCUGAGAGGAUGGUCCCCCCACACUGGUACUGAGACACGGACCAGACUCCUACGGGAGGCAGCAGUGAGGAAUAUUGGUCAAUGGGCGGAAGCCUGAACCAGCCAUGCCGCGUGCGGGAUGAAGGCCCUACGGGUUGUAAACCGCUUUUCCCCGGGAAGAAUAACCCCGAUGAGUCGGGGGAUGCCGGUACCGGGGGAAUAAGGAUCGGCUAACUCCGUG
Molecule: ribosomal RNA, 487 nt
Filed under: uncultured bacterium
Lineage: Bacteria
Description: bacterial SSU rRNA
Rfam family: Bacterial small subunit ribosomal RNA
Source: RNAcentral